Molecule: ribosomal RNA, 1366 nt
Filed under: metagenome
Description: bacterial LSU rRNA
Rfam family: Bacterial large subunit ribosomal RNA
Source: RNAcentral
GAAGCAGCCAUCCUUGAAAGAGUGCGUAAUAGCUCACUGGUCAAGUGAUUCCGCGCCGAUAAUGUAGCGGGGCUUAAGUUAUCCGCCGAAGCUGUGGCAACCUGUGUGGUUGGGUAGGGGAGCGUCGUGUCAGUGGUGAAGCUGCCGGGUGACUGUGUGGUGGAGUUGAUGCGAGUGAGAAUGCAGGCAUGAGUAGCGUGUGACGGGUGGGAAUCCCGUCCGCCGAUUAUCCAAGGGUUCCAGGGUCAAGUUUGUCUGCCCUGGGUGAGUCGGGUCCUAAGGCGAGGCCGACAGGCGUAGUCGAUGGGUAACCAGUUGAUAUUCUGGUACCGGCUUGUCACCGUCCGUGUCGAGGUGUGUGAUGCUAAGCAUGUGAGCUUGUCUUGGGAGUGUUUUUGAUGCUUCUGGGGUGGGUGAGUGUGUGAACCGAUCAUGUAGUAGGCAAGCUGCGGAGGGACGCAGUGAGGUAGCUCAUCCCCGGUGAUGGUUGUCCGGGGCUAAGUGUGUGGACUGUCUGGUAGGUAAAUCCGCUGGGCGUGAAGGUUGAGGCAUGAUGGGGAGCCCAUGGUUGUGGGUGAGUGAGUGAUCCUGUACUGUCGAGAAAAGCUUCGUGAGCGAGGUGGCGGGUCCGCCCGUACCCUAAACCGACACUGGUGGAUAGGUAGAGUAUACCGAGGCGAUCGAGUGAAUCGUGGUGAAGGAACUCGGCAAAAUGCCCCCGUAACUUUGGGAUAAGGGGGACCUGAGCUGUCGUGCACCCGUGCGGUGUGGUGGCGGUGAGGGGCGCAGAGUCCAGGGGGAAACGACUGUUUACCAAAAACACAGGUCCGUGCGAAGUCGUAAGACGAUGUAUACGGACUGACUCCUGCCCGGUGCUGGAAGGUUAAGGGGAACUGUGAGUGUAUGCGUAGCGGUGAACUUAAGCCCCAGUAAACGGCGGUGGUAACUAUAACCAUCCUAAGGUAGCGAAAUUCCUUGUCGGGUAAGUUCCGACCUGCACGAAUGGAGUAACGAUUUCCCUACUGUCUCCACCAUGAACUCGGUGAAAUUGCAUUACGAGUAAAGAUGCUCGUUACGCGCAGCAGGACGGAAAGACCCCGGGACCUUUACUAUAGUUUGGUAUUGGUGAUUGGGACGGUUUGUGUAGGAUAGGUGGGAGACGUUGAUGCGGCCACGCUAGUGGUGGUGGAGUCGUUGGUGAAAUACCACUCUGAUUGUUCUGGUUAUCUCACUGUGGACCGUGAUCCGGUUCAAGGACAGUGCCUGAUGGGUAGUUUGACUGGGGCGGUCGCCUCCUAAAGGGUAACGGAGGCGCCCAAAGGUUCCCUCAGCCUGGUUGGUAAUCAGGUGGUGAGUGUAAGUGCAC